UUUUUUUUUUUUUUUUUUUUGUAGAAUAAAAGUUUCAGUCAUUGUUAGGAAUCAGAAUAUGCCUCGAAACCAUAGUUCUUACUAAUUGAAUUUGCAGUUUUUUGUGAGAAAACAAACUAUUGUUAUAAAUUGAAUCAAUUUGUGUUAUUCUUGAACCUUUUUUUGACUUUUAGAAUUAUGUUUCCAUUACGUGCACAAGAGUUUGUUCUGUUCAGACUUCAGAGUUUAAUUGGGGCAACAAUAUGAACUUAGAACUUGGAGUUUGAUUGGAAUGAUUGUCAAGUCACAAAGAAUUUUGAGAAUUAUCGAAUGAAAUGAAUGAGGCCUUGUGGUUUUCCAUUGAGAAGAAACAUUGGAGUGGUUAGUUUUUUGUAUUAGCGCUGGAACCAGACUCUUAUAAGCGUGCUUAGGAAUUAAGCUUUUGCAGUUAUCCACUUAAAACAAAAAAACUAACUUUUAAAAUAUCUUUUGUAGCCUUAGGCUUUUUCUAGCUUGGGUAUAAAUUUGGUGGCAAGUUGUGGUAAACCACAGUAACUAGUGGGCAAAGCACAGACUAUGUGUGCAAAUUGUAAAAGAAAAUAAUGAAAAAAUAAAUUUUGAAAAGACGAAGAAUACCAAAUCAAUUAUAGCAACAAAGGAUGAGAAAACUUUGUGCUAACGUAUAGUUAUCGUUUUUUUUUUUUUUUGAAAUAUUAUAUUAGUGUUAUGAGUUAGUGACAGUUUGAAGAAAGUUAUUCUAAAAUCUCAUUUGGAGUUACAUAACUUAUAAAAAAAAAGUACUUCUAACACAAGUGUUUUAAGCAAGAGUAUUUUUAAGUUACACCAAAAAGUGCUCGUGCUUUAUGUAUAGUGAGAUAUAAAUUUGAGAGAAUAAUGAUACACUAGUCCACGUUUGAUUCAUUUAAAUUUAUUUAAAGGAUGUAACAAAUCUAAUAAGAUUUAACUUGACAUUAAAAUUGAAACGAAUAAAAAAAAAUCACGAAUUCACAUAUAUACAAUUAGGCAAUUUUUUAAUAUAAUAUUGUAAAAAGUGACACCAUUUCACCCCUCAGGUUUGAAGAUACACAUAAUUUAAUUUGAGUGAAACUCUUCUCCCCACACCAUAAAUUGAUAUGGGUGAUUUAUUUGUGUAACUAAAUCAAGUAGGGGUAGUGGUUUGUGCAAUUACAUUGAGGUGUAGAUCAAAAAUAUUUGAGAAUAUAAAACUUUGUAAAAAUUAAGAACCAUCUACCAUUUUAUAGAUCAAAUUGAAAAAAAAAAGUGAGAAUUUAAGGGGCAAUAUUUAAGGUUAUUUAAGGAAAAAAAACUUUAAUACAAUUGUUUAUUGUAAAAACCUUUACCAUAAAUGUAUUUUAGAAUUUUAAAACAUUUUUUGAAUUUUUUGGAUUGUUCGACAAGAAUCAUCCCUUUCUUCUUCCUUUUUCUCGGCCACUCACUCCGCCGCCCGCCGCCCCACCCCUUUGCUGCAUCCUCUUUCCCCUUCCUCCCAUCUCUUGAGGUGGAAACGGGACAGAAGCGAUCAUCAGAAUGAUCGCUCCUGAGCUGUUAAUGACCAUGAUUUGGUGUCAACAAAUUGUGCGGGUCCAGAUCACAAGUUGUGCAUCGAUUUUCACACCGUAUGUGGAACCCAUAAAAUUUUGUACUAAAGUUACACGUUGUGCAAACAAAGUUACGCCGUAUGCAACCAAAGUUACGCGCUGUUGAAAAUGGCCAAAACUGUUGGGAACGAUUGCACGUGCAACUGUCCGUACCCCUUGUCCCUUUCCUCACCACCAUCAACUUUCUCACAAUGUUCGCCCCUCUUUUCCGCUACCCAUUCACACAUUUCUCCCCCACCCCCUUGCCACAUCCUCUUUCCCCUUCCUCCCAACAUCUCUUUCCUCGAUCCCUUCCCUUCUAUCCCUGCUUUUUCCCCUCCUCCCUCCACCCCCUUCUGCUAGAUCAAAGGGAAGGAAGGAAAGGUGGGAGUGCCAGGGAGGUAGGAAAAUAAGGUGGGGGUGGUGAGAAAAGAAAGGCAGGAGGUAGAGUGGGGUAGGUGCGGAGAAGAGGUAUGAGUCUGUCUUUCUUUUGGAAGAAAUAUAGCACCUCCCUUGAGCUCUAUUAACUCUCUAUAGUCUCUUAGAGUGAGGGCGAGGGUAUUGCGAAUUUUUUGGGUUACUUUUUGGGGUGUUUUUGCAUUUUCUGGGUCAAUGUUUUUUUGCUCUAGAAGUUUUUAUUUACUCCCAUGUUCAGUCCUCAAUUUAAAGUUUAAACUAUUUACGUUUUAGUCUCUAUAUAUCUUGGAAGUUGGAAUCUUAAAGCCGUUUGUUGAGUCUACACAGACUUUUGCCAAAUUUGAUCGUAAAGGAAUCCUGAUUUUCAUCCCAAGAUUCAAUUAAGCUGGUAAGAACACUUAGUAAAGUCCACAAAAAAAAAUUGUAAAUACAACUAUAGCCCCAAAUUUCUAUUCAUCCCUCGCGGCCUUGUAAACCAAAAUACUACACCUAUCAAGCAUUGGAAUCUUGACAUCUAACCCUGAAUAUUCUAUACUAAUAAUCCAAAAAGUUAUCCAUAAUCCAGGUGACUGGUAAAAGAUGUAACUUGAGAGAUUGUUUGCAAGGAAUGCCAAGAUAAAGAAACGAAGAAUAUACAAUUCCAGUUCACAGCACAAGACUAAAAGACUAGAAGUAGAAAACUGUUCAGAAAAUGUCAUUCAUUGACAACGUAUGAGUCGACAGAAGAACCAAAAUUGGACACAGUUUAGUCCCAUCACCACCUCCCAACAACAAGGAUGGAAGAUCACAGUAUAGUUCUUAAGAGGGAAAAUCCUAAGAACCAAGACUAGCUAAUUUAUCAGCUCAAUCACAAGCAGCAUCAGAAGAAGUUGGUUCAAAUAUGGGCAACUGCUCGUUGCAAAUUCAGUUGCAAGCAAAU
RNAcentral lists this long non-coding RNA (2913 nucleotides) under Coffea arabica (coffee). RNAcentral's name for it is "long non-coding RNA (CARA_LNC004399)". The record is from RNAcentral. Lineage: Eukaryota; Viridiplantae; Streptophyta; Magnoliopsida; Gentianales; Rubiaceae.